Molecule: ribosomal RNA, 481 nt
Filed under: uncultured bacterium
Lineage: Bacteria
Description: partial 16S ribosomal RNA
Rfam family: Bacterial small subunit ribosomal RNA
Source: RNAcentral
AUUGAACGCUGGCGGCAUGCCUUACACAUGCAAGUCGAACGGUAACGGGCCUUCGGGUGCCGACGAGUGGCGAACGGGUGAGUAAUACAUCGGAACGUGCCCGAUCGUGGGGGAUAACGAGGCGAAAGCUUUGCUAAUACCGCAUACGAUCUACGGAUGAAAGCAGGGGACCGCAAGGCCUUGCGCGGACGGAGCGGCCGAUGGCAGAUUAGGUAGUUGGUGGGAUAAAAGCUUACCAAGCCGACGAUCUGUAGCUGGUCUGAGAGGAUGAUCAGCCACAGUGGGAAGGAGAAAGGGCACAGACUCUGAGGGAGGGGAGAAGGGGGGAAUUUGGGAAAAGGGGGGCAAGCUGGACCCAGCAAGCCGGGGGGAAGAAGGAAGGCCUUGGGGUUGUAAACUGCUUUUGAAAGGAACAAAAAGCCUUUUUUUAAAACAGGAGGGUAAUGACGGUACCGAAAAAAAAAGCACCGGUUAACUAGGU